GGCCUCCCGGUGCUCACCACAGGCUGUGUUCUUACACUGACUGUACAGACGGUGGAGGCAGAGCAAACCCCACACACCCCUCGGCCCCGGCCCUUUGCCUGGUCUGCACUGGGAAUGGGAGGACAUAG
Molecule: small nucleolar RNA, 128 nt
Organism: Phyllostomus discolor (pale spear-nosed bat)
Lineage: Eukaryota; Metazoa; Chordata; Mammalia; Chiroptera; Phyllostomidae
Product: small nucleolar RNA SNORA51
Exons: 1
Source: RefSeq, a predicted model, not a curated record